RNAcentral lists this ribosomal RNA (401 nucleotides) under uncultured bacterium. RNAcentral describes it as "bacterial SSU rRNA". It matches the Rfam family "Bacterial small subunit ribosomal RNA", at positions 505 to 906 of the family's 1533-position model. The record is from RNAcentral.
GUGCCAGCAGCCGCGGCAAUACGUAGGGUCCAAGCGUUAAUCGGAAUUACUGGGCGUAAAGCGUGCGCAGGCGGUUGUGCAAGACCGAUGUGAAAUCCCCGGGCUUAACCAGGGAAUUGCAUUGGUGACUGCACGGCUAGAGUGUGUCAGAGGGGGGUAGAAUUCCACGUGUAGCAGUGAAAUGCGUAGAGAUGUGGAGGAAUACCGAUGGCGAAGGCAGCCCCCUGGGAUAACACUGACGCUCAUGCACGAAAGCGUGGGGAGCAAACAGGAUUAGAUACCCUGGUAGUCCACGCCCUAAACGAUGUCAACUAGUUGUUGGGGAUUCAUUUCCUUAGUAACGUAGCUAACGCGUGAAGUUGACCGCCUGGGGAGUACGGUCGCAAGAUUAAAACUCAAAG